AGUUUGAUCCUGGCUCAGAUUGAACGCUGGCGGCAUGCCUUACACAUGCAAGACGAACGGCAGCACGGGAGCAAUCCUGGUGGCGAGUGGCGAACGGGUGAGUAAUAUAUCGGAACGUGCCCAGUCGUGGGGGAUAACGCAGCGAAAGCUGUGCUAAUACCGCAUACGAUCUCUGGAUGAAAGCGGGGGACUCGUAAGAGCCUCGCGCGAUUGGAGCGGCCGAUAUCAGAUUAGCUAGUUGGUGGGGUAAAGGCCCACCAAGGCGACGAUCUGUAGCUGGUCUGAGAGGACGACCAGCCACACUGGAACUGAGACACGGUCCAGACUCCUACGGGAGGCAGCAGUGGGGAAUUUUGGACAAUGGGCGCAAGCCUGAUCCAGCAAUGCCGCGUGCAGGAUGAAGGCCUUCGGGUUGUAAACUGCUUUUGUACGGAACGAAAAGGUCUGCCUUAAUACGGUGGGCCCAUGACGGUACCGUAAGAAUAAGCACCGGCUAACUACGUGCCAGCAGCCGCGGUAAUACGUAGGGUGCGAGCGUUAAUCGGAAUUACUGGGCGUAAAGCGUGCGCAGGCGGUUAUAUAAGACAGAUGUGAAAUCCCCGGGCUCAACCUGGGACCUGCAUUUGUGACUGUAUAGCUAGAGUACGGUAGAGGGGGAUGGAAUUCCGCGUGUAGCAGUGAAAUGCGUAG
RNAcentral lists this ribosomal RNA (690 nucleotides) under uncultured bacterium. RNAcentral describes it as "bacterial SSU rRNA". It matches the Rfam family "Bacterial small subunit ribosomal RNA", at positions 10 to 693 of the family's 1533-position model. The record is from RNAcentral.